This is a long non-coding RNA of Acinonyx jubatus (cheetah), 397 nucleotides long. RefSeq lists it as uncharacterized. The transcript has 3 exons. The record is from RefSeq and is a predicted model, not a curated record. NCBI's taxonomy places the organism in Eukaryota, Metazoa, Chordata, Mammalia, Carnivora, Felidae.
CGUCUUGACUCCCGAGCGGUCCUGCCUGGUGAGCGCGCACGCACCAGGUCUGGAAAGGCGGCCUCCGGGAGACAGAAGAGGGCAGAAGGGGAGGGAAGAGAAAAGAGAGGAAACAUCAGGGAAGGAGGAGGAACCAUCUUCCUCUCACCCCCUGCCACUCCUAGUCUGUUUUGUAAGCUGAUGUAUCUCAAGGGCCUGGGACAGCACCUGGCACAUCAUAGGCGCUCAGUAGGUUCCCAAAAUGAGACUCCCCAAGAAGAAGGAAAACAUAAACUCACGUCCAUCCUCUUCCAGGUAUAGAAGUUGACCUUGGUGUCUGGGACAGUGAUAUUCUCACUGAAGCUGCAGCCUUCAGCACAGCCCAUCUGAAAUGCACGACCCCCGAGUCAGGCUCCCC